Molecule: ribosomal RNA, 220 nt
Filed under: uncultured bacterium
Lineage: Bacteria
Description: partial 16S ribosomal RNA
Rfam family: Bacterial small subunit ribosomal RNA
Source: RNAcentral
AGCGAACGCUGGCGGCAUGCCUAACACAUGCAAGUCGUGACGGGCCUGGGGGCUUGCUCCGGGGUCAGUGGCGGACGGGUGACGGAACGCGUAGGAACGUAUCCAAGAGUGGGGGAUAACCGCGGGAAACUGCGGCUAAUACCGCAUGGGGCCUCAAGGGAGACCUGGGGGCCAAAGGCUGAGGGAAACCUUGGUCGCCGAUGGAGCGGCCUGCGUCCGA